Molecule: signal recognition particle RNA, 101 nt
Filed under: bovine gut metagenome
Description: Bacteroidales small SRP
Rfam family: Bacteroidales small SRP
About the family: The non-coding component of the signal recognition particle in Bacteroides
Source: RNAcentral
GUCGGGUAAGUCUUGCACGACCAGCUCCCUUCGAAUUCCCCCAGGGUCGGAAGGCAGCAAGGGUAGAUGGUUGUAGCGGUGCGAUGCAAAUAGCUUACCCU